AAAUGCGAUAAGUAAUGUGAAUUGCAGAAUUCCGUGAAUCAUCGAAUCUUUGAACGCACAUUGCGCCCCCUGGCAUUCCGGGGGGCAUGCCUGUCCGAGCGUCAUUUCUGCCCUCAAGCGCGGCUUGUGUGUUGGGUGUGGUCCCCCCGGUGUUGGGGGGACCUGCCCGAAAGGCAGCGGCGACGUCCCGUCUAGGUCCUCGAGCGUAUGGGGCUUUGUCACCCGCUCGGGAGGGGCCUGCGGGCGUUGGCCACCCACGAUAUUUUUUUACCGUUGACCUCGGAUCAGGUAGGAGUUACCCGCUGAACUUAAGC
This 314-nucleotide unclassified non-coding RNA is filed under the name plant metagenome. RNAcentral describes it as "partial contains 5.8S ribosomal RNA, internal transcribed spacer 2, and large subunit ribosomal RNA". The stretch from base 1 to 104 matches the Rfam family "5.8S ribosomal RNA", at positions 51 to 154 of the family's 154-position model. The record is from RNAcentral.